GCGCAUGUGGCGUAAUUGGUAGCCGCGCCAGACUUAGGAUCUGGUGCUUCACGGCGUGGGGGUUCGAGUCCCUCCAUGCGCA
Molecule: transfer RNA, 82 nt
Filed under: Bacteroidota bacterium
Lineage: Bacteria; Pseudomonadati; Bacteroidota
Also listed under: 1 other name
Description: Bacteroidetes bacterium (activated sludge metagenome) tRNA-Leu
Rfam family: tRNA
About the family: Transfer RNA (tRNA) molecules are approximately 80 nucleotides in length.
Source: RNAcentral